UCGGGAAUAUUGCGCAAUGGAGGAAACUCUGACGCAGUGACGCCGCGUAUAGGAAGAAGGUUUUCGGAUUGUAAACUAUUGUCGUUAGGGAAGAUACAAGACAGUACCUAAGGAGGAAGCUCCGGCUAACUACGUGCCAGCAGCCGCGGUAAUACGUAGGGAGCAAGCGUUAUCCGGAUUUAUUGGGUGUAAAGGGUGCGUAGACGGGACAACAAGUUAGUUGUGAAAUCCCUCGGCUCAACUGAGGAACUGCAACUAAAACUAUUGUUCUUGAGUGUUGGAGAGGAAAGUGGAAAUUCCUAGUGUAGCGGUGAAAUGCGUAGAUAUUAGGAGGAAACACCGGUGGCGAAGGCGACUUUCUGGACAAUAACUGACGUUGAGGCACGAAAAGUGUGGGGAGCAAACAGGAUUAGAUACC
Molecule: ribosomal RNA, 418 nt
Filed under: uncultured bacterium
Lineage: Bacteria
Description: bacterial SSU rRNA
Rfam family: Bacterial small subunit ribosomal RNA
Source: RNAcentral